RNAcentral lists this small nucleolar RNA (145 nucleotides) under Brassica napus (rape). Its description in RNAcentral is "snoRNA snoR134". It matches the Rfam family "small nucleolar RNA snoR134". The record is from Rfam by way of RNAcentral. Lineage: Eukaryota; Viridiplantae; Streptophyta; Magnoliopsida; Brassicales; Brassicaceae.
UUGCAGGAGCCUCCCGGGCUAAUCUGAAUACAAAAACUUGUGGAAAUAAGCCCCAAAGCUCCUGCUAGAUUGUGUGUUGCACGUUUGUGUUGCACGUUUGCCUUGAUUCUCUAGUCUUUCCUGUGUCAAAAACAUGGUUGAAUUU